GAUUAAAUAAAUUUAAUUAAAUAUAUUAUUUUUAUGAAUAUUAAUUAGAUAGAGAAGGCUUAAUUUCUUCUUUUUUUGAGAAAAUUAAAGGUAGCUACCCGUUUCGUUUAUUAUUUUUAGAAAUAAAUUUAGUUGAAAAUAUGAAUCAAUUAAAAUUCGAACUUGAGAUCUCGAAUAACAACUACCAAAUUCUUUGCUUAGAAACAGUUGGUGAAAAGACUUAAUUAAUUUCUUACAUUCAAAAUAUAUACAUAUAGCAUUUG
Molecule: long non-coding RNA, 263 nt
Filed under: Ananas comosus (pineapple)
Lineage: Eukaryota; Viridiplantae; Streptophyta; Magnoliopsida; Poales; Bromeliaceae
Description: long non-coding RNA (ACOM_LNC025060)
Source: RNAcentral